GCCUAUGGCCAUACCAUCCUGAACCUCCUUUAUCUCAUCUGAUCUCAGAAGCUAAGCAAGGUUGGGCCUUGUUAGUACUUGGAAGGGAGACUGUCUGGGAAUACCAGGUGCUGUAAGCA
Ribosomal RNA from Cricetulus griseus (Chinese hamster), 119 nucleotides. Lineage: Eukaryota; Metazoa; Chordata; Mammalia; Rodentia; Cricetidae. The record is from Ensembl.